Molecule: ribosomal RNA, 524 nt
Filed under: uncultured bacterium
Lineage: Bacteria
Description: partial 16S ribosomal RNA
Rfam family: Bacterial small subunit ribosomal RNA
Source: RNAcentral
GACGAACGCUGGCGGCGUGCCUAAUACAUGCAAGUCGAGCGCAGGAAAUCGACGGAACCCUUCGGGGGGAAGUCGACGGAAUGAGCGGCGGACGGGUGAGUAACACGUAAAGAACCUGCCCUCAGGUCUGGGAUAACCACGAGAAAUCGGGGCUAAUACCGGAUGGGUCAUCGGACCGCAUGGUCCGAGGAUGAAAGGCGCUUCGUCGUCGCCUGGGGAUGGCUUUGCGGUGCAUUAGCUAGUUGGUGGGGUAAUGGCCCACCAAGGCGACGAUGCAUAGCGGACCUGAGAGGGUGAUCGGCCACACUGGGAGUGAGACACGGCCGAGACUCCUACGGGAGGCAGCAGUAGGGAAUCUUCCGCAAUGGACGAAAGUCUGAUGGAGCAACGCGGCGUGAACGAUGAAGGCCUUCGGGUCGUAAAGUUCUGUUGUAAGGGAAGAACAAGUGCCGCAGGCAAUGGCGGCACCUUGACGGUACCUUGCGAGAAAGCCACGGCUAACUACGUGCCAGCAGCCGCGGUAA